CAAGUAGCCACAGCCGAUGGUACCCACAGGGGUAGUGAAGACAUCCGUGACACCCCAGUUGGGGUGGGGAGGCUGCCGAGCCCUGUAUUAUGUUUACAGUUUUACUACACCUCAUAAUGGAAAACCAAAUGUUCCUUUUAUAAAACCAAUAAAAAUCGAUUAAAAACUAAAUUUGACCUAACAGUGAUCUGUUAACAUCUUCAGUUG
Non-coding RNA from Pelobates cultripes (western spadefoot toad), 207 nucleotides. The record is from the annotation of a GenBank genome assembly. Lineage: Eukaryota; Metazoa; Chordata; Amphibia; Anura; Pelobatidae.